UUGCUUUGGUACCACGUAUGUUACAUUAAAAUGAUACAGAGAAGAUCAACAUGGGCCCUGUGCAAGGAUGACACUCAAAUUCAUGAAGGUUUCCAUAUUUUU
This is a small nuclear RNA of Pteronotus mesoamericanus, 102 nucleotides long. The record is from RefSeq and is a predicted model, not a curated record. Lineage: Eukaryota; Metazoa; Chordata; Mammalia; Chiroptera; Mormoopidae.